CUGCUAUCAGAGUGGGACUAAGCCAUGCGAGUUAACGUAGCAAUACGUGGCAUACGGCUCAGUAACACGUGGUCAACAUACCCAGAGGACGUGGAUAACCUCGGGAAACUGAGGAUAAACCGCGAUAGACCAUAAUGUCUGGAAUGAUUUAUGGUUCAAAUCUACAUGGCCUCUGGAUUGGACUGCGGCCGAUCAGGCUGUUGGUGAGGUAAUGGCCCACCAAACCUGAAACCGGUACGGGCUCUGAGAGGAGAAGCCCGGAGAUGGGCACUGAGACAAGGGCCCAGGCCCUAUGGGGCGCAGCAGGCGCGAAAUCUUUGCAAUAGGCGAAAGCCUGACAAGGUUACUCUGAGUGAUCUCCGCUAAGGAAAUCUUUUGACACCUCUAAAAAUGGUGUAGAAUAAGGGGUGGGCAAGCCUGGUGUCAGCCGCCGCGGUAAUACCAGCACCCCGAGUGGUCGGGACGAUUAUUGGGCCUAAAGCAUCCGUAGCCGGUUCCUUAAGUCCUCCGUUAAAUCCACCUGCUUAACAGAUGGGCUGCGGAGGAUACUAUAGAGCUAGGAGGCGGGAGAGGCAAGCGGUACUCAGUGGGUAGGGGUAAAAUCCGUUGAUCCAUUGAAGACCACCAGUGGCGAAGGCGGCUUGCCAGAACGCGCUCGACGGUGAGGGAUGAAAGCUGGGGGAGCAAACCGGAUUAGAUACCCGGGUAGUCCCAGCUGUAAACGAUGCAGACUCGGUGAUGAACAGGCUUCGUGCCUGUUCAGUGCCGCAGGGAAGCCGUUAAGUCUGCCGCCUGGGGAGUACGGUCGCAAGACU
Molecule: ribosomal RNA, 815 nt
Filed under: uncultured archaeon
Lineage: Archaea
Description: bacterial SSU rRNA
Rfam family: Archaeal small subunit ribosomal RNA
Source: RNAcentral